GAUGAACGCUGGCGGCGUGCCUAAUACAUGCAAGUCGAACGCAUAGCGAAAGGUGCUUGCCCCUUUCAAGUGAGUGGCGAACGGGUGAGUAACACGUGGACAACCUGCCUCAAGGCUGGGGAUAACAUUUGGAAACAGAUGCUAAUACCGAAUAAAACUUAGUGUCGCAUGACACAAAGUUAAAAGGCGCUUCGGCGUCACCUAGAGAUGGAUCCGCGGUGCAUUAGUUAGUUGGUGGGGUAAAGGCCUACCAAGACAAUGAUGCAUAGCCGAGUUGAGAGACUGAUCGGCCACAUUGGGACUGAGACACGGCCCAAACUCCUACGGGAGGCUGCAGUAGGGAAUCUUCCACAAUGGGCGAAAGCCUGAUGGAGCAACGCCACGUGUGUGAUGAAGGCUUUCGGGUCGUAAAGCACUGUUGUAUGGGAAGAACAGCUAGAAUAGGAAAUGAUUUUAGUUUGACGGUACCAUACCAGAAAGGGACGGCUAAAUACGUG
Molecule: ribosomal RNA, 497 nt
Filed under: uncultured bacterium
Lineage: Bacteria
Description: partial 16S ribosomal RNA
Rfam family: Bacterial small subunit ribosomal RNA
Source: RNAcentral